Benincasa hispida (wax gourd) is the source of this 4505-nucleotide non-coding RNA. The record is from RefSeq and is a predicted model, not a curated record. Lineage: Eukaryota; Viridiplantae; Streptophyta; Magnoliopsida; Cucurbitales; Cucurbitaceae.
UUUAUCCUUGCGAAAAAAGAAAAUCUAAAUUAUCGAAAGAAGUAGCUAAAGCCGAAGUCUGGAGUCAUGGCGUCUCCCGCCAUUAACGUUUACUCCAUCUCUCCCCAACAUCUCUGGCCGCCGUUAUCUCAUCCUCUCCCGUCGUUCAUAUGUCCUCACUAUUCUUCACCUCCGAUUCAGGUCUCCAGGUUUUGCCGCCAUAAACCUGUCGCCUUUUACUCUACCUAUCCACUUCGAUUUCGACCUUCUUUCCCAUCUCCGAGGUCCAUUCUCUCUCAAAAAUCCCAACUCUCCGAUGUCGACGAAGACGAGGAUGAAGAUGAGGAUGAAGAUGAGGAUGAAGAUGACGACGACGACGUUGCAGCCGAGGAGUACGACAGCGAUGCAUUGGGAGGAUUCGAGCAGAGCUACGAUGAAGUGGAAUUGUCGAUGGAAGCUACAGAAAUCUCCAGUGCGCCCGAGGAGUUCAAAUGGCAGAAAGUCGAAAAGCUUCUCGGAGAAGUUAGAGAGUUUGGAGAAGGAAUUAUCGAUGUCGAUGAGCUUGCUUCAGUUUAUAAUUUCCGCAUCGACAAGUUUCAGCGGCUAGCCAUACAAGCAUUCUUGAGAGGAUCAUCGGUGGUGGUAUCGGCACCUACCAGCAGUGGCAAGACUUUGAUUGCGGAGGCUGCGGCCGUCGCCACAGUAGCCAGGAAGAGACGAUUGUUUUACACGACUCCACUGAAAGCAUUGUCGAAUCAGAAGUUUCGCGAGUUUCGUGAGACGUUUGGAGACAGCAACGUUGGGCUUUUAACGGGAGAUUCUGCAGUUAAUAAAGAUGCACCGGUUUUAAUCAUGACUACAGAAAUUUUGCGCAACAUGUUGUAUCAGAGUGUUGGAAUGGCCUCAUCUGCAAGUGGACUGUUUCAUGUGGAUGUGAUUGUUUUGGAUGAAGUUCAUUACCUCAGUGAUAUUUCUCGGGGCACAGUGUGGGAAGAGAUUGUUAUUUAUUGCCCAAAAGAAGUGCAGCUUAUUUGUCUCUCUGCAACAGUUGCAAAUCCAGAUGAGCUGGCUGGCUGGAUUGGUCAGAUUCAUGGGAAAACUGAGUUAGUAACAUCAUCGAAGCGUCCAGUACCAUUGACUUGGCAUUUCUCUACAAAGACCUCUUUACUUCCUCUCCUUGAUGAGAAAGGAGCGCGCAUGAAUAGGAAGCUGUCGCUCAAUUAUCUUCAGCUUCAUGCUUCAGGAGCUAAAUUGUAUAAGGAUGAUGGAUCAAGAAGAAGAAACCCAAAAAGGCGUGGGAAUGAGAUCAGCUAUGACAAUAUUAGCAGCAUGUCUAGACAAGCUACACUUUCAAAGAAUGACAUAAACUCAAUCCGCCGUUCAAAUGUUCCUCAGGUGAUUGAUACAUUGUGGCAACUUAAGUCAAAAGAUAUGCUGCCUGCAGUUUGGUUUAUAUUUAGCAGGAAAGGAUGUGAUGCUGCUGUUCAGUACAUUGAAGGCAGCAACCUCUUAGAUGAUUGUGAGAGGAGUGAAGUCGAACUUGCAUUGAGGAAAUUCCGUAUUCAAUUUCCAGAUGCUGUCCGGGAAUCAGCAGUGAAAGGACUUCUCCAAGGAGUUGCUGCACAUCAUGCUGGCUGUCUGCCUCUGUGGAAGUCAUUCAUUGAAGAGUUGUUUCAGAGGGGACUUGUGAAGGUUGUCUUCGCAACAGAAACAUUAGCUGCUGGAAUCAACAUGCCAGCUAGGACAGCAGUUAUUGCAUCCCUGAGCAAAAGAAGCAAUAAUGGUCGUACCCAGUUAAGCCCAAAUGAACUGCUUCAAAUGGCAGGGCGUGCUGGACGUCGAGGCAUUGAUAAAAAAGGUCAUGUUGUGCUUCUUCAAACUCCAUAUGAAGGUGCUGAAGAGUGCUGCAAGCUCCUGUUUGCUGGCAUUGAACCACUUGUUUCUCAGUUCACAGCUUCAUAUGGAAUGGUACUGAAUCUUCUCGCUGGUGCAAAGGUUACUCAUACAAGCGAAAUGGAUGAGACGAAAGCUUUCCAAGCUGGGCGAACACUAGAAGAAGCUAGGAAGUUGGUUGAGCAAAGUUUUGGAAACUAUGUUGGGAGCAACGUCAUGCUUGCAGCAAAGGAAGAGCUUGUUAAAAUAGAAAAAGAGAUUGAAAUGCUCAACUUAGAAAUAACUGAUGAAGCUAUUGAUAGAAAAAGCAGGAAGUUCUUGUCAGAUGUGGCAUAUAACGAGAUAGCACAGCUGCAGGAGGAACUACGAUCAGAGAAACGUCACAGGACGGAACUGCGAAAAGAGAUGGAAGCACAAAGAGUUUUUGCCCUCAAUUCUCUGUUACGAAAUUUAGGAGAUGGACAGUUACCCUUUUUGUGUUUGCAAUACAAAGAUUCUGAAGGAGUCCAACAUUCAAUUCCUGCAGUUCUCCUUGGAAACAUGGACUCAUCAAAACUUGUUAACAUGUUUCCUGCUGAUAAUUCUUUGAAUGGUACAGAAUCUAAUCUUGGUAUCAACCUGGAGCCAGGUGCUGAAUCAUCUUAUUAUGUGGCUCUAGGUUCAGAUAAUUCUUGGUAUCUAUUUACUGAGAAAUGGAUCAAAACUGUUUAUAAAACUGGAUUUCCUAAUGUUGCUUUAACCAAAGGCGAUGCUUUACCUCGGGAGAUUAUGAGGAGUCUUCUUGAUAAAGAGGGAAUGAAAUGGGAGAAGCUUGCUGAUUCUGAGCUUGGCAGUUUAGCAUGUAUGGAAGGAUCUCUGGAAACAUGGUCAUGGAGUUUAAACGUGCCAGUUCUGAAUAGUCUUUCCGAAAAUGACGAACUCUUGCAAAUGUCUCAGUCGUACAUGGAAUCUUUAGAAAGGUACAAGGAGCAAAGAAAUAAGGUUGCACGAUUGAAGAAAAAGAUCGGUAGAACAGAAGGAUUCAGAGAGUACAAGAAGAUUUUAGAUAUGGCCAGUAUUAUAGAGGACAAGAUUAGGCAAUUGAAGACUAGAUAUAAACGGCUAAGUAAUCGAAUUCAGCAAAUCGAACCAUCAGGAUGGAAGGAGUUUUUGCAGAUCAGCAAUGUGAUACAUGAAAUCAGAGCACUGGAUAUAAAUACUCAUGUAAUGUUUCCACUUGGAGAAACUGCAGCCGCUAUCCGAGGUGAAAAUGAGCUGUGGAUUGCCAUGGUUCUAAGAAACAAAUUCUUAGUACAGCUAAAGCCUACAGAGCUUGCUGGUGUUUGUGCAAGUUUAGUUUCUGAGGGCAUCAAAGUGCGCCCCGGAAGAAAUAACAGUUACAUAUUCGAACCAUCAAGAACGGUAAUCAAUAUGAUCAAUUUCCUAGAAGAGCAGAGAAAUUCUCUUGAAGAGUUUCAAGAAAAGCAUGGAGUGAACAUAUCAUGCUGUUUGGACAGCCAAUUUUCAGGAAUGGUUGAGGCUUGGGCCUCUGGUUUGACUUGGAGAGAAAUGAUGAUGGAUUGUGCAAUGGAUGAGGGAGAUCUGGCACGCCUCUUGCGACGAACAAUCGACUUGUUGGCUCAAAUUCCAAAAUUGCCUGAUAUUGAUCCAUCUUUGCAAAGCAAUGCAUCAACUGCUUCUAAUGUCAUGAAUCGUCCACCCAUAAGCGAAUUGGCUGGAUAACCUUGUCUGAAAACGAUGAAUCUGUCUAUUCUUCCUGCUGCAUUUUGGCAAGCCAAAUUAACAGUGAUGGGACAUGUUCUUACGAGGUCGUUUAGCUGUUGGCUCAAAGUGAGCAAAGCACAUCUAAGAAGCUGCUUUAAGGAAUCAUAUGGAAAUUGUAGUCUACCUGAUGUGCAUUGUCAGGUUUCCAAGGAGAUCCUCUUUAUCAUGGCAAGGAAAAAGAUGUUCCAGAUCCCGCUGGUAGAUCCUAAGUCCAUUUGUGAGUUGAUUAGCCAGCAUAUGCAGAAGAGAAGCAGUAUUGUGGUGGGGUCCGAUGAGAAAGAUACGUUGGUGAUCGUCCACAUUCACUACUCUUACUGUAGGUUGGCAGCUACCUUAGGAGACAUUUUGGAAGGUGAACACUAAUGCUACUUGGAGCCUGUUUCUAAUGGGGGAGACCUAGGGUGAGUGCUUCGAGAUCAUCUAGGUCAUGUCUGAUUUGUGGGAUCAUAGUUCAUUCCUAAAUGUGGUGAGGUUAAGACAUUUGAAGUGAUGAUAAUUUGUUUGGGCAUGGAGAGCAUUUACCAAAUUCUUCACUCGAACCUCUUGGUUGAAUUUGCUUAGAGGUGAUCAACUUGCUAAAUAACACUUAAGAUGAUAUCACAGAGGUCUCUUAGUUUAUCAAGGAGGCAAAUACUUGGGGAUGUGUUUUGGAUGUUAUCUCUUUCUUUCAUUUUCGUCAAUGCCAAAAUGUUCUAGCGUAUUCUCUUGCGUUUAAAGCUUUAGAGAAGCGUAAGUCUUCCAUUCUUGCUAUUCUUUACACCGAGUGGUUUUCUAUACUUAUUUUGUUGGGCUUUAUGCCCUAAAACUCGUAGAUAGUGAAUGUAAUUAAAUGACCGUCAUUAAUAAAUAAUUACUAAUAUUUUUAUCAA